Molecule: non-coding RNA, 193 nt
Organism: Phascolarctos cinereus (koala)
Lineage: Eukaryota; Metazoa; Chordata; Mammalia; Diprotodontia; Phascolarctidae
Source: RefSeq, a predicted model, not a curated record
AGGAAGUCCUCUGACUUUCUGGAAUAUAAGAUACAAUCUUAUUUCAAGUCAAAACAAGUUCUACUGAGUGAUCAGUGUUUUCAACCAGUUCUGUCAAAAAGUCUGCCAGAUAGAACACAAGCAUAAACAGAAGGUACAAUUAGAGGAUAUACACAGAGGAAUGAAGGAGUCAUUCUGGGACAGUGUAUAGAUG